ACGCCGAUGGUGAAACGGUUAUCAUGCUUGCCUUCCAUGAUUUGUUAGCAAGCGGUAGGGGUUCGACUCCCCUUCGGCGUA
Armillaria novae-zelandiae is the source of this 81-nucleotide non-coding RNA. Lineage: Eukaryota; Fungi; Basidiomycota; Agaricomycetes; Agaricales; Physalacriaceae. The record is from the annotation of a GenBank genome assembly.